AAAUUACAAGUCUUGUUGCAAAUGAUCGAUUAUGUAUUAUAAUAACUAAACCCUAUGCAAAUUUUUCAAAGUUCGUUAAAAAUCUCGUAACCAGGGAGUUUUUAAUGUUUGAUUGAAUGAUGCCUCCUGAAAACGCCUAUAUGAUAUCGGCCCUGGCCGCUCGACGUUUGGCUGCUAGCUUCAGCUAUAUGUGCCUCGACAAAAUGAGAGCUUAGAGACUUGACCCUUUAUAAUGGUUAAAGUCGUACACGUUGACAAAAUAUUCUCUAUCUUUAAAGAUUCUUCAUUUCUUUUUUGCAAAAACAUUAUGUCGCAGAUAGAGGAAGCGCGAAGAAAAGCGAGGGAGGGAGAGAGAGAGAGAGAGAGAGAGAGAGAGAGAGAGAGAGAGAGAGAGAGAGAGAGAGAGAGAGAGAGAAACACGAAGAAGAUAAACUCAUCAGGAUGCUUUGCGUGACAAGAUAAGUGUUCCAAUUAAGGCUAAUGAUAUAAGUAAUUAAUAAAUGAAAUUCUAGAUGAAUGGAAUGUAAAAUUGCAUCUGUUCUGCAAACGUCUUUAGUUCUAUUUUGGCAAAAAUUAGACAAUUAAAGUGAAGAUUAAUGUUUCGAGUCGUCCGAUAAUAUAUAGCACUAACGAUAUAUCGCGGCGACAUCCACAGGUCCUUCUAAGUAGAGAAAAGAAUCCCAUCGAGGUCGAAUAAAGCGAAAGAAGAAGGGUCGCGUGGUUUUCGAUCGAGAAGAGAUGGGAAAUUUUGGUGAGAAAAUUGCCCGAUGUCGCGUCACGGCAAACACCAUCCAGAUAUACGAGUUAAUGGCAGGCUAAAUGUUCGCGACCUCGAUCUGCAAACACACGCGCAUGGAAAAGGGAGCGCCUUCAUCGAGGGAGGCGUCAGCUAAUUAUGGUGGACCUUGCGGUCAAAAAUUCCAAGUAACUUAUUUGCGAUCGUGUACGCGAUUUCACGGUAUUGGCGCCGUGGAGCCCGGAAACACGCCAGGAAUAAGGGCGGCAGGCAGACGGGCGAGAGGGAAGAAUAGAUGGACAAAGAGACGGGACCGAUGUCUUGGUACGAUAAGCAUCUCGAGGUGGCGGCGGAAAAUAAGCGGGGAAAAAGGAUCUCCCUGCAGGCACGUACGAUGAUGAUCGGGACGGUAGGCUACUAAAGAAUGCCUGAAGGUCCGAUCGAAAUCGUUGCCUACUGUGUGUUCUCGUUUCCCUCAAAUUACCGCCUUAUGCGCGCGCGUAUUCCCAAUACGUCGUAUUUUCACAAUGUUUGCGCGCGAGAACUAAUGAUAUGAUAAUAAUAUAUUUUUAAUGCUGAAUAAUACAAAAGGCAGGGCAUGCAUUGCGAUAGGGGCGGUAUGUUUUACGGUAAUAUGGUACGGUAUAAUAGAGGUAAUUAAGAGAAAAACAAGAUAAUGAGAUAAAUAAAAUAAGAAACUAAUGAUAUACCAUAAAUCGCUGCAUGCAUAAGAAGAAAUAUCUAAGAAAAACAUUUUUUAUAUCACUAUUGUAAGACCAUUUCAAAUACAGUACAAUUCCGAACAAAAUAAGAUUUUCCAAGUUCAACUUUAAUAAUUCUGAUCGUAUUGCGUGAUCACAACAAUCGCUUGCUCUUAGUUAGUCUCACUGUUUUGUCGAAGCUCUUUCCUUUGAUCAGAAAACUACCUUACCUAUCGAUAUUUCCUUCUAUCAUUUACGGAAUUCUAAUCAUUAUUCGCAAUCCGUAGUCGAUGCAUUAUAGUUUGAUGCACGAACGGAACCUUUAAUGUAUAUAAAAGUAUUAUUUUAACUUGUUCCUUUCAAGUGUGGUUUUUAAGGUAUAAUGCGUAUAGCAGUCAUUAGCCUCAUUCGAGUCGUUGGCCGUUGUUACGAUCUCGCAGAUUUGCAAAUGAAAUUUAAUUUAAUUAAGCUAAUUAAGUAGAUGUAUUUUUCUAUCAAACUCAAGAUAACGGUACUACGGGAUAGCGAUCUUUUUCCCUUUGCGAGUUGGCCGGUAGUUACGGUUUUCCGAAGCCACGACUGUACGUAACGUAAUAUCUUACACGUUGGGUGUUCCCGCAGUGUCCUGAUAAAAAUAUAACGACGUGAUAAUUAUACUACACACAAUAUGCGUAGUAGUAUGAAUCGUGUAUCUGUUUCGGCUUGAUUUUUAAUGAGGACAAAAUUAAAAGACGAUUCGCGUGUAAUCAAAGAAAAGAAAAAAAAGGCAUAAUCGCAAUUAUAAUUGGAAAAAUAAUACGAUCUACAUACAGUAAGCCAUUAUACGCAUACAAAAUCACGAUAUCAAGUUUUACCGAGUAUAUCGUUGCCUCAUACUUCAACUCUCAGCUUCGCAUACAUGCUUUUCCAACAGCGCACGCUGUUUAAUUAGGAAUAAUUUUCCCGACGAAAAAGAUGCAUUAACGCGGAAGUUAUGUUAUCCGGAUUCAAGAGGAGAUUACCGCGCAUUUGUAACUUGUGAAGAAAACGUUAUAAGCGACAAUUUUACAUUCUCGAGAAGCGCGAUGAAAAACAGACUCUGACAUCGCGAGCGAGCGCAAGCACGUCGUCCGCUCGAACAGGUCGUCGUGGUCGUAGCGUUGAGAAUGCUUGAAAACCGCGAAUGAUAUUCUUCGGGAUUCCACGUGCGAACGGAACGAAUUGACGCAGAAUGCGAGAGGUGGUUUUUCUUCGUGCGGUCGUGCAGCAUCGGGAUAAAAGGCGUACGAAUGCCACGAACCGUAUUACAGAUUCACCUCGGCGAUCUCGGACUUCGUCCCAUUAUCGGCUCACUAAUAAUAUGCGGGAGACUCUAAAUCACGUCACAAAAGGAUGGAGAUGGCGCGUAGCCGUGAAUGGUGCGGUCCGAAGGACUGGAUUUCAAUUUGUCUUGAUCGCCGCGACGUGAAUAUUAAAAGCCUCUUCACCCGCGCGCGCGUAGCGCCGCGCGCCGCUGCCGAGCUGCCGUGUGUGUGUGUGUGUGCGUGCCACUCACUGUACUCUGAAUAGAUCUCUGAAUCGAACCGCGUAAUACUUGUACGCGUUGCGCCGUGUGUGACGGUGUAAUGCCGGUAAACGUCCGCCCGUUGAAGCUAAUUAUUCUAUCCAUCGCGUCGUCCUCGUGAUUCUGUCGCCGAGGCGUCCCCGUUCGAGGAGCAAAGCCAGCUCGAGUAAAGCUCAUGUGAUAUCGGUAUUGAAUCGUUUACGGAGAGAUAAGACAUCUAUCUAUUUCUUCUAUACAAUAAGCGCGAAAAUUAAAUCACGGAUCGAUGUCCGAUACUCCGGAUAGGCGUGCAAAUCGGGCUCCAUCAUUUUUCAUCACCGAUCCUAUUAAUUACCAGCGAGAGAUAGUUCGAUCACUCAGGUUCGAUCGUUAAGCGAUCGAUUAAAGAGGGAGAGGUCACACUCCACGCUUGUUAAUAGCGUACGGCUCGUAUGCGUGUGGUGUCGAUUAAAGAUACCUUAAUGAUUCGCUCGUAAUACCCAUAUCGCCAUCGCUGCCUCGUGAUCUCUCGUGUGACUUAUCGUUAAUCAUAUUUUCUCCUGUAUAAGCGUACAUAAAUUAUGGAAACAAUAUGAUAUCGCCAUCGCCCCAUCGAAAGAAUCCCGAGAUUUUAUUCAGCAUUGGAUAUUAGAUCGGGAUAAGAUACGCGUCUCCGGUUGGGGAACGCUCGAUUGAAAUUUCAUACAAAUUAUGAGAUUCGAGAUGAGAUUACCUCGAGGGCACGAACAAUCAAAUCAAUGUCAUCUUCAAAUGCCACUUUUUGAUGUCGACGCUUACAUGGAAUUUAAUGACACGUAAUGCGAACAUGAUGGGGAGCGAUAAGAUCGUCAUACGAAGCGAUACGCAUCCAUGUAGGAGGAUCUUAAUUCGGACGGCAAAUUCUUCUUGCAAGUUUCGAUAUCACAUGUGUAUCUUAAUAUCGUUUUAAUCAUCGUACUCACGAACUUCGAGAUCCAGAUCGAUUCCCUCGCCACGAGGCGAGGCACGCAGAUGAAUACGUAAUGCCCUCUCUUGUUUAAACGUGUCCGAGGCUUUUUUAUGGCUAUUAUCGCUUGCCUGCGGCGAUAUUCCGAGGAGAGGAAAAGGGGAAGGAAUUUACAUUGAGAAGUUGAUGAACACGCCAACAAGCAUAAAUGAUUUAAGAAACAAAAUCAAAACCCUGUUGCAAGCACUACAUACCAUACUUGACGUAAUACUUAUACUUGUCGUUUUCUAUUUGGUCUCUUUUUCAACUCUUUUGUAAAAUAUAAAGAGAGCUACAUAAAAAAAUAUAAAUUUCUCUCGAUUAACAAUAAAAAUAUCGAGCAAAACCUCUUAUCCGGUAUAAGCUAUCGGUUAUAUUAUCAUUAUUUACUCUGAACAAACGUUUACUUGUAUGUCAAAGAAUUUGUAAAAAAAUGUGAUAAAGCGCAGAAAAAUAUUAAAAAGUAAAGAAAGAGCGAUUUCUCUCUUUCUCUCUACGAUACUCAUUGUGGCUCGACCACACGACGGCCGUAUAAAUCUACGAGGAAGUUAUUGCUUCUGCAUCCGUUUCCGUCCCACGGUCCCGCAUUUCCCCUUUUCGUCAGCUUCGUUUUCUACUCGCCGUCUGAUACUUAACAGUUUACGACUCACGGCAUCAUCCCCCACUCGCCACUUUUCUGACAAUUUUCUCAAGAGUUUUCCAUCGUUUCUCCUCGAAAGACUCGUGCUUCUUUUCAAGCUUCGAAGCAUUUUCCAUUUUUACUACUUAUUUGAAAACUUUAGAAAUAUUGGAGAAAAUAUAUUUUUCUCCUCUAACACAGUAUCCUUCAAAACUAACUCCCAAUGAUUCGAUGAAAUUAAAAUCAGGCAAUUGGCCAAGAAAAUGUUUUAGUUUUGAAGAACACAGAAUUUUUAAUAAUAAUGCGCGAAGCAAAUUUUUUCUUCCAAUGUCACUUACAUAAUUAAUUGAAAGAUGUGCAUUGAAAGAUUUUGCUAAGAGAAUAAUACAAUUGACUGUUCAAGUAUAACUGUUUCAAUAAGGAUAGAAAUCUUAUUAAUGAAAAGAGUUGUGUAUUUCUUAGAUUAAUUUGGUUUUUCCCUACAUAUUAUUGUAUUGUUUAAAUAACGUUAUCGACAAAGAAGCAUCAUGCUAAGAAUGCAAGAAAUCCCCAAAAAUUUCUAAUUGCGAGCUAACGCGUCUCUGUACGGGAUCUCAUAACAUACAGCAAAAGAAGAUAUUCUCCGAGGAUAAGAGAGCAACGCUUGUUUUAAGUGCACGCGACGUUAUACGCAACUGCACGCGUGAUGUAUAAAGAGGUAAACCGAAGCAGCGUAAGCUGCAAUCGUCACCGUGAGUUUUAUUAGCGGUCAGCGCGCGUUUACUCGAGAUAUGACGAGAAAAUGACAACGACGGUCGGCAUGUGAACAAGAUAUCUCAAAUACAGAAUAGGAAGUUAUAAUUAGCGAGAAAUGCACGAUUCCUCUGUCUAAUUAUUUUCACAUCCGCAACUCUUCCUCGUUCCUGAGUACGCGAGAAAGCCAAGCGGCAUGUGUUCGAGUAAAAUUGCUUCAACGAGUAAAACGGCUCAUACUCGUGAGCAAUUUAUGAUGUAACCAUCAUACAAAGUGUGGCACGUGCUUUUUCAGAGAUAGAUGCGCGAGAAUGACGUACAUACCGCGCAAACAUGAAGAAAAUUAACACAAAUAGAAAGGUUUAGCACGAUCGCACUCGACGCGAGAAAUGAUUAUUUCUGUGAAAACUAGUUAUCCGAUACGAUUUAAUCGCCAAAGCACGAGCGUUUACUGAUUAUCAAUCGAUGAGUCAAGAAAGCGAUGUUAAUUGCGACAUUUCCGUCGCAAAGAAUAAAUUUAUUAGUUCAUUAUUUUAUAAUGAAAAAUAAAAUAUCUAUGUAUAAAGGAUAUUCACAAAACCAACAAGCUUUGCUAGCACAUUUGGAUUCGUAAUUAUUCUUAACACAAAGUUCAUAUAAAAUUGCCAUAUUAAAGCAUGAGUUGAAUAAGUUAGUACAGUGGAAUUAAAACACUGUCCUCGAGCUAACAACUACCUGCGACUUUAUGUUUCGUAAGUUUCAUUCCAAAAGAAAAACAAGUAUAUAUAGCAGUAUUGAAUUUUACAAAGUUCAGCCAACAAAGCGCUCGUAUUUUAAAAUGUAGAGCCCAAUGAAAUCGCAAGUCAUUCACUAUAACAAUCGUGACAAAGCGUGUCAGCGUAGAGUAGAAGUAUGAACCAAAUUCUUAGAAUUUGCGUCAUUUAACCCUCAGGAGGCGCACUAUAUCUGCUUCGAGAUUCUGGCCCACCGACAUUUUUCAACUGCAUAUAAAACUUACGAUCACUAAGGGAUCUUGUAAGAUAUAUAUAACACAUAUCUUUCUCAUAAUCAAAUGGCAGCGGGUGGCUGCAAUACCGCAAAAACAGACUAAAAGGAGUGCUUUAUCCCCGCCUCUCCUGUUUUUAUUAUGCAUUGCUAAAAAUAGUGACAUCGCGGCGCGCAACAAUACAGCACGCGUUGCGCGGAUGCAUCUGGACCGCAGCAGUCCUUCGUCACCGACUUCUCCUAAAAUUAUCUCAAACGCGGCAUCGGCCUCCUAUUUUACUAGUCGUUUCGACGCCUCGAGAAGGAGUCGCGUGCCAUUAGUCGGUCUCUCUUUCUCUCUAUUCAUCUUACACGUAAUACCCUAACUUUCCUAUCGCGCGCCUUCCCGUUUGACUCUAACGUUUCCGAAACGAAAUUAUGCCCUUCGCAGCUGCGAGCAGUCGGGUCGUAACUCUUCGUUACGAAAGGACAAGGGUUUAAAACAUAGUUUUAUGCCUACAGGAUGUCAUACAACCUCAACAACCAUAUUAACGAUGGAGACUUGGAUUAAAAUUGUAUUGUCCAUUUGAUCGUAAGCGUAAAAGUUCCGUUUGAGGGCCAUAAAUGAUUUUAAAAUUAGCGAGAAGAUGAGCGUUCCUCAGUCCGUUUGACGUACGAUGCGCUAUACGCACCCCCCCCCCCUCCCCCCAGUAACGUCGGCAGUUUCAUUUAGAGUCUAGACAUCUCCCCGGGGUCGGCUUCCCGGUAUCUCUGAUAUUUAUAAUCGCGAAACCUCGUCCUCGCAUUAAAAGGCCCGAUUCUCGGAUUAGCGGAAGCUAGCGCGGUCUUAGAUCUCACACGGGAGACGACCGACACGUGUCGUGUCAAAAGCCGGUCUCUGCCUCCCCUCCCUCUCCCUUCACCCUUCCCACCAUCCCUUUCCGUAUCGUCGUCCUUCCAUCAGUGUACUCUCUCGAUGUCCGCUUCCCAUUUUCCAUUCUCCGUUUUCAAACGUUCCUUAAAUAUACACGUCGCUCGUAUCCCCGGAGCGUCUUAAUUUCCCACAUCGUUCGAUGUACCGUGACAUUCGCGACACGCCUACCGUACGGAAAGAUGAGUUGCUUUGAGCAAUAAUUUUGUAAGGUUAGCGAUUUCUAGUAACCCUCCAUUUGUUAUCUAAAUCUUUUUUAAUACAGCGAAAUUUUACUCUCAAAUUUCUCUGAAAAUUUUAAAUUUUUACGUGAUAAAGUUUUAACAUUUAAAUUUAAAAAAAUUAUUUUGUAAUACAAUAGAAAUGUGUUGAAAAAUAAUUCUCGAUUUUUCUAUAUUUUUUUGAAAGCCUAGAACAAUAAAAAAAAUUUGGGAUAAGAAGAUUGCAGACGAAGGAUUAAAUUAUUGUAAUUAUUUCCUCCACAGCUUAUUCAUCUAUUUAUACCUUAUACAAUUUAAUGCAAUUUAAUAAAUCAGUAAUUUACCGUGAAUAUUAACGUGAGUCUAUUCCAAUUUUCAUGAUUGGCAAAUUCGCUAAUACACAAUAAAUUAACGUUGAAAUUUCAAUGCUAUGUGGGAAAUAAUUUACGACGUAAUCUCUAAUUGCCGUAGCGCGUCGUCACACGAGUCGCUGUCUGUUCGCAGUCUAAUUAAAUCAUAGCGUCAGAGAUCGCAUUGCGUCGCGCUACCUAGUGUGUUGCGCGGUCUAGACGAGGAGCUUUCUCUCUCGUUUGCUCGUGCGAAUCUUUCAGAUUGGCGAAACGCAGCACGGCGGACGUGUGCAUCGUCGUGCGGUUGCACGCGUGGUCGAAUAACGCGUCCGGGCGUCUCUGAAAUAGCGCAAUUAGGCAAAUGACGCGUCCCACACGUGCCUGCGCUCUUUAUCUCCUUACCCGCCACCACUCCUUUCGUUUACUUUAUCAUUUCGCUAAGAUAUAUCGCGUUGUUAAGAAAAAUAAAGAAAGCAAAGAAAAAAAAAACAAUUUCCGACGUUGGUGCAAAAAAUUCAUCGAUCAAACAAUUUGUAGUAAUGUUUCAACAUCGGACAAUGACGAAUUUUUCUGUAAUCUGAUAUUUUUCAUAAAUGCAUCUAUAUAUACAUUCGCACCUGCUUUCCCGUACGCGAAUUAACUGCAGAACGAUAAAUAAUUUUUACAAUACCGGAAAUAUCAAGACACACUGUUCCUACGUAAUUAAGGAGUUAUCAUGUCCUCGAUCAGCUUUUCCGUUUACCGUAUCAAACAUCGCAUCGUUCUCCCGCGACAGAUACUCGGUCGACAAUCUUUUCGAUAAUUCUAAUAAUUUCCACCCUUCGUGCACGAGAUCGGCAAAGGGCCACGCGUUUCCGCGUCGGUACGCAUUGAUAAACGUAUCCGCAAAGCGGCAGAUGCAUUUCACUGGGGCAAUCCGUGCGCGACACAAAAGUCGAACGCACGAGUUCACGAGCGAAGCGGAAGCGAGACAGCUAUAUCGAGAUGCACAUGCACAUGCAGGUAAUGUCGUCGAUACGCAAACGGUAGUACAGCCGCGAGUGUUACGCGGUACCGACGCAAUGAGGGCAAGUGCGUGCAAGUGCCGGGGCAACACCGUUAUUGCGCUCCGGCACAACACGGUGCAACCGUCAUUUUUUGGCAGCUGCCCAAACUUUCGCACGCGCCUCUCUCACCAUUAUAUAUAAUUUUCGCGGAGAUAGGCGCGAAAAGGACAAGGGUCGCUCGCGCUUUCGCUGGCCAACACGGCAUUUACGUUGCGCUCGGCCCAUUUAACGAAGACGCGUCUCGACCCGUCCGUUGCAAUGUCUUUCCACAGUUCCAGGUGGAUGCUGACUAUUCACCGACGCGGCACGAGUUUCACCCUCACGAGCUUCCCCGUUAUUCCUGGUGGUUCCUUGCGAAGUCUCUCCGUUAGUCCUGCAGCGAGGUGGCGAGGAUUCGGACUGCGAAGUAGAAGUUCUAGAGGAAGAAGCAGGUCAACGAACGCUCGAGCCUGCCGAGCAAGUUUUACGACGAAUUAUGCGGCUGCUUAUCUUCACGGAAAUUCAACAGGGUGUACGAUAUGGAACUAUUGACAAUAAGACUAUUUUUCGAAAUCAGUCGAUGUUUUCUUGUUGAGAGACGCCAAUAGCUUGUAUACUCGAUUCAAAUAAAGAGCAUUUAAAUAA
Molecule: long non-coding RNA, 9409 nt
Filed under: Monomorium pharaonis (pharaoh ant)
Lineage: Eukaryota; Metazoa; Arthropoda; Insecta; Hymenoptera; Formicidae
Description: uncharacterized LOC118646871
Source: RNAcentral